GUUUUACUACAGGCUGACCAGAAUCACAAACACAUUGAUUGAAAACUAUCAUCAGUUCCAACAAUUGAAGUAACCGGUUAGUAAUGUGAAUUAAAGGACAUGACUAUAUGAUGAAUACCAGCAGUGAUGAAACCUAAGAGUAGCAACAAACAUAAAAAUUGAAAGGCAGCCAGAGUAAACACACCAGCAUCUACUCAUGGAUUGAAAGGGUC
Long non-coding RNA from Daphnia carinata, 212 nucleotides. RefSeq lists it as uncharacterized. Lineage: Eukaryota; Metazoa; Arthropoda; Branchiopoda; Diplostraca; Daphniidae. The record is from RefSeq and is a predicted model, not a curated record. The transcript is spliced from 3 exons.